Molecule: unclassified non-coding RNA, 378 nt
Filed under: plant metagenome
Description: partial contains 5.8S ribosomal RNA, internal transcribed spacer 2, and large subunit ribosomal RNA
Rfam family: 5.8S ribosomal RNA (bases 1-105)
Source: RNAcentral
GAAAUGCGAUAAGUAAUGUGAAUUGCAGAAUUCAGUGAAUCAUCGAAUCUUUGAACGCACCUUGCGCUCCUUGGUAUUCCUUGGAGCAUGCCUGUUUGAGUAUCAUGGAAUCUUCAAAGUAAAUCUUUUGUUAACUCAAUUGGUUUCUACUUUGGUAUUGGAGGUCUUUGCAGCUUCACACCUGCUCCUCUUUGUUCAUUAGCUGGAUCUCAGUGUUAUGCUUGGUUCCACUCGGCGUGAUAAGUUAUCUAUCGCUGAGGACACUGUAAAAGGUGGCCAAGGUAAAUGCAGAUGAACCGCUUCUAAUAGUCCAUUGACUUGGACAAUACUUUUAUGAUCUGAUCUCAAAUCAGGUAGGACUACCCGCUGAACUUAAGC